CCAUCUCCCAAUUUUGAAUUCCCUGUAUUCGAGGCAGAGGAAGAUGAUGUCGAAGGGAUUCCUGAUGAGAUUACCCGUCUUCUUGAGCACGAAAAGAAGAUCAGUAAGCUGCAUCGUGAGAACCCAUAAACAGUCAAAUUGGGGCUUUACAAAUGUAAUAUCAAAAAGGGGGUGAAAAACAAAAUCAAAAUCAAAAAUCAAAAUCAUCAAAAUUAAAAUCAAAAUCAAAAUAAAAGAAAAUCAAAAGAAA
Molecule: long non-coding RNA, 250 nt
Filed under: Lathyrus oleraceus (garden pea)
Lineage: Eukaryota; Viridiplantae; Streptophyta; Magnoliopsida; Fabales; Fabaceae
Description: Pisum sativum (pea) long non-coding RNA (PSAT_LNC005327)
Source: RNAcentral